GGGCGCUUAGCUCAGCGGGAGAGCGUUCCGUUCACACCGGAGAGGUCAGUGGUUCAAUCCCACUAGCGCCCACCA
This 75-nucleotide transfer RNA is filed under the name Alphaproteobacteria bacterium. RNAcentral's name for it is "tRNA-Val". It matches the Rfam family "tRNA". Rfam says of the family: Transfer RNA (tRNA) molecules are approximately 80 nucleotides in length. Their secondary structure includes four short double-helical elements and three loops (D, anti-codon, and T loops). Lineage: Bacteria; Pseudomonadati; Pseudomonadota; Alphaproteobacteria. The record is from RNAcentral.